Molecule: ribosomal RNA, 484 nt
Filed under: uncultured bacterium
Lineage: Bacteria
Description: partial 16S ribosomal RNA
Rfam family: Bacterial small subunit ribosomal RNA
Source: RNAcentral
AUUGAACGCUGGCGGAAUGCUUUACACAUGCAAGUCGAACGGCAGCACGUGGGCAGCCCUGGUGGCGAGUGGCGAACGGGUGAGUAAUACAUCGGAACGUGCCCGCUCGUGGGGGAUAACGUAGCUAAAGUUACGCUAAUACCGCAUACGAUCUGAGGAUGAACGCGGGGGACCUUCCGCCCUCGCGCGAUUGGAUCGUCCGAUGUCAGAUUAGGUAGUUGGUGGGGUAAAGGCCUACCAAGCCGACGAUCUGUAGCUGGUCUGAGAGGACGACCAGCCACACUGGGACUGAGACACGGCCCAGACUCCUACGGGAGGCAGCAGUGGGGAAUUUUGGACAAUGGGCGCAAGCCUGAUCCAGCCAUGCCGCGUGCAGGACGAAGGCAUUCGGGUUGUAAACUGCUUUUGUAAGGAACGAAAAGGCUCUGGCUAAUACCUGGGGCUCAUGACGGUACCGGAAGAAUAAGCACCGGCUAACUACGUG